CCCUUAGAUGUUCUGGGCAGCACGCGCGCUACAAUGGUCUUCGCAAACGGAUGCAUUCUCGAAGGAGAAUGCCAAUCUUGGAAUCUAUGCCUUGGUCGGGACAGUUGCUUGCAAUUUUUCGACUCGAACCAGGAAUUCCUUGUAAUCGUGAUUCAUCACAUCACGAUGAAUACGUCCCUGCCCUUUGUACACACCGCCCGUCGCUCCUACCGAUCGAAGAGUUAGGUGAAUUGUUUUGAUCGAUAAGAUUUGACUAUGGUCAACUCUCGUUGUGAAAUUCUGUGAAUCUGACAGUUUAGAGGAAGGAAAAGUCGUAACA
RNAcentral lists this ribosomal RNA (319 nucleotides) under uncultured eukaryote. RNAcentral describes it as "partial 18S ribosomal RNA". It matches the Rfam family "Eukaryotic small subunit ribosomal RNA", at positions 1470 to 1796 of the family's 1831-position model. The record is from RNAcentral.